ACGAUCAGUAGCCGACCUGAGAGGGUGACCGGCCACAUUGGGACUGAGACACGGCCCAAACUCCUACGGGAGGCAGCAGUGGGGAAUAUUGCACAAUGGGGGAAACCCUGAGGCAGCGACGCCGCGUGAGCGAUGAAGUAUUUCGGUAUGUAAAGCUCUAUCAGCAGGGAAGAAAAUGACGGUACCUGAUAAGAAGCCCGGUAAUACGUGCCAGCAGCCGCGGUAAUACGUAGGGGGCAAGCGUUAUCCGGAUUUACUGGGUGUAAAGGGAGCGUAGACGGCAUGGCAAGCCAGAUGUGAAGCCCGGGGCUCAAUCCCCUGGGUAUCUGCAAUCUUGGAACUGUCAGGCUAGAGUGUCGGAGAGGAAAGCGGAAUUCCUAGUGUAGCGGUGAAAUGCGUAGAUAUUAGGAGGA
Molecule: ribosomal RNA, 413 nt
Filed under: uncultured Lachnospiraceae bacterium
Lineage: Bacteria; Bacillati; Bacillota; Clostridia; Lachnospirales; Lachnospiraceae
Description: bacterial SSU rRNA
Rfam family: Bacterial small subunit ribosomal RNA
Source: RNAcentral